This 442-nucleotide ribosomal RNA is filed under the name uncultured bacterium. RNAcentral describes it as "partial 16S ribosomal RNA". It matches the Rfam family "Bacterial small subunit ribosomal RNA", at positions 338 to 795 of the family's 1533-position model. The record is from RNAcentral.
CCUACGGGUGGCAGCAGUGGGGAAUAUUGGGCAAUGGGCGCAAGCCUGAACCAGCAACGCCGCGUGAAGGAUGAAGGCUCUCGGGUUGUAAACUUUCUUUAAGAGGGAAUAGCAGAAGACGGUACCUCUUUAAUAAGCCAAGGCUAACUACGUGCCAGCAGCCGCGGUAAUACGGAGGUGGCAAGCGUUGUCCGGAUUUACUGGGUGUAAAGGGCGUGUAGCCGGGCUGACAAGUCAGAUGUGAAAUCCCGUGGCUCAACCGUGGAACUGCAUUUGAAACUGGCGGUCUUGAGUAUAGGAGAGGCAGGCGGAAUUCGUAGUGUAGCGGUGAAAUGCGUAGAUAUUACGAGGAACACCGGUGGCGAAGGCGGCCUGCUAGACGGCAACUGACGUUGAGGCGCGAAAGUGUGGGGAGCAAACAGGAUUAGAUACCCCUGUAGUC